UCGAGGAUCUUCGGCAAUGGGCGCAAGCCUGACCGAGCGACGCCGCGUGUGCGAUGAAGGCCUUCGGGUUGUAAAGCACUUUCGGGGGGGAGGAAAGCCCGCAAGGGUCUGACCGAUCCCCAGAAGAAGCACGGGCUAAGUUCGUGCCAGCAGCCGCGGUAAGACGAACCGUGCGAACGUUGUUCGGAAUCACUGGGCUUAAAGGGCGCGUAGGCGGUUCGCCAAGUCAGGGGUGAAAUCUUUCGGCUCAACCGGAAAAGUGCCCCUGAUACUGGCGUGCUGGAGGCAGGUAGGGGCAUGUGGAACUUCCGGUGGAGCGGUGAAAUGCGUAGAUAUCGGAAGGAACGCCGGUGGCGAAAGCGACGUGCUGGACCUGUCCUGACGCUGAUGCGCGAAAGCUAGGGGAGCAAACGGGAUUAGAUACCCCUGUAGUCC
RNAcentral lists this ribosomal RNA (435 nucleotides) under uncultured bacterium. Its description in RNAcentral is "bacterial SSU rRNA". It matches the Rfam family "Bacterial small subunit ribosomal RNA", at positions 355 to 796 of the family's 1533-position model. The record is from RNAcentral.